RNAcentral lists this transfer RNA (64 nucleotides) under Prevotella pectinovora. It matches the Rfam family "tRNA", at positions 6 to 65 of the family's 71-position model. Rfam says of the family: Transfer RNA (tRNA) molecules are approximately 80 nucleotides in length. Their secondary structure includes four short double-helical elements and three loops (D, anti-codon, and T loops). The record is from RNAcentral. RNAcentral also lists the same sequence under 1 other name. Lineage: Bacteria; Pseudomonadati; Bacteroidota; Bacteroidia; Bacteroidales; Prevotellaceae.
CCUGUAGCUCAGUUGGUAGAGCAUCUGACUCUUAAUCAGAGGGUCCAGGGUUCGAACCCCUGCA